GGGUUGUGAGGUUAAGCGACUAAGCGUACACGGUGGAUGCCCUGGCAGUCAGAGGCGAUGAAGGACGUGCUAAUCUGCGAUAAGCGCCGGUAAGGUGAUAUGAACCGUUAUAACCGGCGAUUUCCGAAUGGGGAAACCCAGUGUGACUCGUCACACUAUCAUUAACUGAAUCCAUAGGUUAAUGAGGCGAACCGGGGGAACUGAAACAUCUAAGUACCCCGAGGAAAAG
RNAcentral lists this ribosomal RNA (229 nucleotides) under Salmonella enterica subsp. enterica serovar Kentucky. RNAcentral's name for it is "partial 23S ribosomal RNA". It matches the Rfam family "Bacterial large subunit ribosomal RNA", at positions 1 to 221 of the family's 2925-position model. Lineage: Bacteria; Pseudomonadati; Pseudomonadota; Gammaproteobacteria; Enterobacterales; Enterobacteriaceae. The record is from RNAcentral.